Molecule: ribosomal RNA, 1418 nt
Filed under: Triticum aestivum (bread wheat)
Lineage: Eukaryota; Viridiplantae; Streptophyta; Magnoliopsida; Poales; Poaceae
Description: partial small subunit ribosomal RNA
Source: RNAcentral
UGGUGUGGGUUAGGGUAGGAGAGGGGACCAGCAGGGCUAGGUGUGGUCGGCGGUGUGUUGGGAUCGGGGAAAGGGGAGCUAGGGGUGUCGGGGAGGGAGGAGGAGCGAGAGGCGGUACCGGAGACGUGAUCCUCGGAGAGGUACCGGAGGAUGGGUAGGGGGGGUGGUGGUGUCCACGUGUGUCUGCCACCUAGACACGGCCUCUUCUCGUCGAGGUCAAUACCACCCCAUGUAGACACGGCUUCUACUUCCUCCAGGCGGCGGGCAGAAACGGAGGAGCGACGCAGGAACAACGACGAGGAGGAGAGAGAGAGAGGCGUGGAUCGUCACGUCGUCGGCCCUGUUCCCCUUCCUCGUCGAGUUGGGCCGAGGUAGAGAGAGACCUACUCGUCCACCGCUCCCUUCGGCGGUGUCGAUCGCCGCCACGACGUGUCCUUGCAGGUGGAGGUCCAGAGGUAGGACAGAGUCUAGGGAAAGGCAAAGUCACAACAAGAAAAAAGAGAACCACACGCGAGAGGACGUAGAGCGCGCCGUCCCUCACCACCACUGAUCGUAUCUUCCGCCUCCUCCAGUAACCUCGGCCGAAGGGAAGGCGAAACCGACGGUUCGAGGCGCGCAACCACAAACUACUUUCAAGUCAUUCCGAAACUCCCUUAUGGUUUGUUCUCUCCUAGGUCAUAGACAUUGUACGUAGUCUAUAUCUAACGGCCGCCCACCUAUAUAACGAGUUUUCUACAGUGAUCACGACAUGACGACAUCUACGGUAACUAAAGUAUAUAGUUUCGUAAUGUCGAGAAAGUCUAGGAAACAUAAAGGUGAAUCAAUCGAACUUUUAGAACAGAUGAUGCCUGUGGAGAACUUUUAACGUUUCCUCAAGAUUGAGGGUUGUUCGAAUAAAGGAAUUUUUUACAUUGACCAUGUUACAAGAUGCAUGGAAUACUCUCCAGUCGGGGCCGUAGUGUCAGGUAAGGACUUCUUCAAGUGUACGUACCACAACUAACAACUCAAACGAACCAAUUGCCUUACUGUACGGAUACGUCUAGUCGUCCCCCUUCCAGGUCCCACUUUGGAAGUCCUCCCUAAACUACAACGAUAACAAAGUCAAACGUCUAUCUCCUACACUAAGGUCGUUCUGUCUCUGCUACCGCUACUGUUCACUCUAAAUACAAUUCCUCAUAAUCGUAUACGAGUGUCCUAGUGACCUUCAAAUAUUUACAUAGGCGUUACUAACAACGAAAGAAUAACUGUGUAUUAACUUAAUAUUAAUAUCUGUCAUUCUCAUCAACAGAAAAGUAAACAAUCUUUUGUAUCACAUGGAAAUAUUAGCAUCAAUAUACGUUACUAGGUAGUACAUAAAAACAAAUUUUGACGUUGGGCAUUAACAAACUACAGUAAUUUACAGAGAGAGAGAGAGAGAG